GUGUUAAACAUGUGUGUUGUUCCACCCAAUUUCCAGGACAUUUUAACCAUUCUUGUGUUCUAGUCCAACCAAAAAAAAACUUUUUUUUACCAAAAUAUUUGAACGAUUCGUCGUGCGUAUUUCGGAUUUUGUAGGUUUAUCAAAUGAACGUGGAAUGUUCCUUAAUUGAUUAAAUUGGUGCGAAUGCAGUUUCGGACGUGUUGUUGGUAGUGUCAAUGGGAUUCGAUUUUGUAGCGCCUGAAAAUCGCUGUGUGAUUCGUGAAGGAUUCCCAGUGGGUGUUUUUGCAAGGACCUAGCCCAGUCCUGAUAAAGGCUAGAAGUGAGCCACCUAGUGGAUUAAGGGAUGUAAUGGUGAGGAUGUAAGCUUCGCAAGUCAGCUCGAAAACGUGAUUGAUCCUUGAUCUGUGCCCAGUGUUCGCGGUCAUAUAUUCUUUUGCCUUCGAGGUGACAUUACAUGACUCAGGUUCAGGUUUUUCCUAUGCCGUUGUCUUCUUCUUUUUCUUCUUAUUCCCGUUCAUUCGUAUGUGGACCACACCCGCGCGCGUGCACACGUUAAACACCGAGCCCCAACGGAGCUCCCACCCGAGAAGAAAAUUAUAUUUCGUCGUCGGUGUUCCUUUUAGUUACAAAUACAAGUGCAAAAAUUGACAGAAACCAUUCGCACAUAUACGCUUGCUUUUACGCUUACACGCUCACCAAGUUCGUCCUGAUGCUCAACUCGAUACUGCUCCAAAUCGACAUGUACUCGUACCCUUAGAUAGGAGAAUCCUUUUUCCUAGGAUAAUAGAGAAAUUUCGCUGCGAAAAUAAACUCGAAACGAAUGCUAACACCGGAACAUAAUUGAUCGCUCCAAAUCGCUAUUUAAAUCACCUGGAAUCAUCCACCCUCAGAGGGCGCGUGGCGAAUUACCAAGCUCGUUCCCGAGGACUGUGUUAAUAAUUGCAUAAAAAUUAAAAAUUGCUAACAUCAAGCUCCACAUGCGUGUGCGUGUCUAAAUAAAAAAAUCCGUAUCUGCAUUGUGUAGUAUAUUUCAUUCGCGGUAUUCUGUGAUAUGUUUGCUAUUUUUCGUUCUUCGUCCUUCCCUUGAGUUCGCUGAAAGAUUGAGUGGAAAAGUUCAAAGUGAAAAUUUACUUUCUCGUUCAACUGAAUAGAAAGUACAAUAGUUACAAUACUCGAAAAAGGCUACAAAAUUGUUAUAUCGCGCUGUGCUGAAGUUGAAAGUUCGCUACACGUUUUAUUGUGCAGUUAUCGUAAAAGUUUCCAGCUUUGAAGUGAAUAUCGAAUCGGGCAAUACAAGUUUUUUAAGUUUAAGUUUUUAAUAGUGUUUGGAAAGGGUUCAACGUUGUUUGGGAGCGAUUUCUAGUCAGAAUUAGAUUGGCAGCUGGAAAUGCACAAUCUAAAAAGGUGACGCCGCUGCAAUGACGACGAUCCGUUAGCGGCAGUGACUAUGGGACCAGAGGCAUGGGCGUGCUCGCGGACCCUGGGUCUUUCCGGUGGUGUCAGGCAUUAAGCCGGUCGCGAUCGUUCGCCACAAAAUCUACAUCUAAUCAACAUCUACCUACAAUCAAAUCAUCGUUUGCGGGAAAACAAAUCAAACAGAACUAUCGAUCCAACUACUACGUUGCAUUGCUCAUUAUUAUUGCAAUUCUAACAAAACAAACUAUAGCUAAUAACAUUAAUCCAGAAGAUGCUGUACACAUUACAGCAAUAUUGGGCGAAAGUGUUGUAUUCAAUUGUCACGUCGAAUUUCCAAACGAUCAUCCUGUACCCUAUGUCCUGCAGUGGGACAAGAAGGUGAGCGAAACGGGUUCGGACGUACCGAUUUACAUUUGGUACGAGAAUUACCCCACACAUAGCGGCGAAGGUUACGAAGGACGUGUCUCACGUGUGUCACCGGACUCACCCUACGGUGCAGCAUCACUCAAUCUGACCAAUAUUCAAGAGGCGGAUCAAGGAUGGUACGAGUGUAAAGUAGUAUUUUUAAAUCGUGAUCCAAAGCAGCAUAAGAAUGGUACAUGGUUCCAUUUAGAUGUACACGCACCACCACGUUUUAGUGUUACUCCAGAGGAAAUUAUUUAUGUAAAUUUAGGUGAUUCAAUUAUUCUAAAUUGCCAAGCAGAUGGCACACCAACACCCGAAAUUUUAUGGUAUAAAGAUGCUGAUCCAGUUGAGCCAUCAUCUACUGUUGGUAUUUUCAAUGAUGGUACCGAGUUACGGAUAUCAACAAUCCGCAACGAGGACAUCGGAGAAUACACGUGUGUCGCGCGCAAUGGUGAGGGACAAGUCUCCCAUACGGCCCGUGUUAUAAUAGCGGGCGGCGCUGUAAUCAUGGUGCCGCCCACCAAUCAAACCAAAUUGGAAGGCGAGAAGGUGAUAUUUCCUUGCGAGGCCAAGGCGAUGCCAGGCAAUGUCACCGUGCGAUGGUUUCGAGAGGGAUCGCCUGUGCGCGAGGUCGCGUCCUUAGAGACCCGAAUCACGAUCCGCAAGGAUGGCUCGCUUAUUAUAAAUCCCGUUAGUGCGGACGAUUCGGGACAGUAUUUGUGCGAAGUGACGAAUGGCAUUGGAGAUCCGCAGACUGCUUCGGCUUAUUUGAAUGUUGAAUAUCCUGCCAAAGUGACCUUUACACCAACUGUACAAUAUCUACCUUUUCGUCUUGCCGGAGUCGUUCAAUGCUACAUUAAGGCCAAUCCUCCACUACAGUAUGUAACAUGGACCAAAGAUAAACGCUUGCUCGAACCAUAUCAAACCGAAGACAUCGUUGUCAUGAAUAAUGGUUCAUUACUCUUCACCCGGGUGAAUCAAAGUCAUCAGGGCCGUUACACAUGCACCCCAUACAAUGCUCAAGGCACGCAAGGAUCUUCUGGACCGAUGGAGAUCCUCGUGCGUAAGCCGCCAACUUUCACCAUCGAACCGGAACCGCUGUAUCAGCGUAAGGUUGGCGAAUCCGUCGAAAUGCACUGCGACGCUCUCGAGGCCGAGGGCACACAAAAAAUCAACAUACAAUGGCAACGACGUGACGGUGCCCCGUUACAACGAAAUCGCGUUAAAAUGAAUGGUGGCAAUAUAACCGUUGAAAAUUUAAGACGUUCCGAUUUCGGCUAUUAUCAAUGCGUUGCUUCGAACGAGGUGGCGACAAUAGUUUCAGCAACGCAGCUCGUAAUAGAAGGGACGCAGCCUCACGCCCCCUACAACUUAUCCGCAACCGCCACAGAUAGCUCGGUGACCAUUCAAUGGAUGCCGGGCUACAGCGGAGGACCGGAUUACAAACAGGACUACACAAUCUGGUAUCGAGAAGCCGGCGUUUCAGAUUGGUCCACGAUCCCAGUAACGCCAUCCGGCAGCACCCAGGUCACAAUCAAUCGCCUCUCGCCCGGCACCACCUACGAAUUCCAGGUAGUCGGAAAGAACGCACUCGGCGAGGGGAUGAUGAGUAAAGUAAUGACUAUAAAGACACUAGAUGCCGCUCGUACUGUAAAAGCUCCAACACCAGUACCAAAUGAAUUUGAAUUUUCACUUAUGCCCGACGAAGCUGGUCCGAAGCCCGGUCAGCCACGUAACGUGACGGUGACCGAGGUACCAAACGGGUUCCUUAUUACCUGGCAGUCGCCGCUCGAGCGCGCUCACCUCGUCAAAUUCUACACCAUUAAGUACCGCACAGACGCGCAAUGGAAGACACUGAAUCGCGGUCAAAUACGACCUGAGGAGACCAACUACCUGGUUAAGAAUUUGGUUGGCGGACGUACUUACUAUUUCCGCGUUUUGGCCAACUCCCAGAAGAGCUAUGAAUCCAGCGAUGAAGUUAAAUUCCCGGUACCGGCUCGCGUCAAACAUAAAGCCAUAACAGCCGGGGUCGUGGGCGGCAUAUUAUUUUUUAUCGUUGCAAUUAUUCUAUCUAUUUGUGCCGUUAAAAUUUGCAAUAAACGAAAACGACGAAAACAGGAAAAAGAAAUAAUUCGUUUGCAGAGUACAACAUGGUAGCUUGUAGGAUAACGGACGCCCGAAACACAGCUAGUCGAACGGGCUCCGCUUCCAGUAGUCAAGUGCCUUUGAAAAAGAGUGAUUCCGAUCAUUGCCGGGAUUACGAGACCGUUU
This 4092-nucleotide unclassified non-coding RNA is filed under the name Hermetia illucens (black soldier fly). Its description in RNAcentral is "protein turtle, transcript variant X1". The record is from RNAcentral. Lineage: Eukaryota; Metazoa; Arthropoda; Insecta; Diptera; Stratiomyidae.